Molecule: non-coding RNA, 3329 nt
Organism: Sus scrofa (pig)
Lineage: Eukaryota; Metazoa; Chordata; Mammalia; Artiodactyla; Suidae
Source: RefSeq, a predicted model, not a curated record
AAUAAAUAAAUAAAUAAAUAAAUAAAUAAAGUAAGAGUGAAAGAUAAAAAAAGAGAAAGAAUGAAAGAAAGGUAGAAAAAAAGGUCAUAUGAACUAAUGAAUAAUAGUUGGAAAGGUAAGAAAAUAAAUCAGUAAUUACAUAUGUAAACAAAUAUAUUCAAAAACACAUACCUGCGUGAAUAUAUGAAAAAUUGAAGAAGGCUGUCAGCACAUGAUGGGUCGGGAGCUGAGUGUUUAAAAGCUGUGGCAUCGGGUAGGGUGGCCUCAGGGCUCUGAAAGCUUUUGAGAGAGAAAUAGCCCACUUGGUAGGGCCCUUCCUGAUAUUUCAAGAAAGUGGAGGAAGGCAGUCCAACCAGUGUGUUGCCCAAGGCCAAAGCUGCCCCCGCGGGCUGCUCAGCCAGAGAGAGGACGAACACCUGAGAGUUGCUGUUAGCGCAGAUGACCACAAGAUGGCGCCAGGGUACUUUCCAGACCCUUGGGCAACUCCAAGGCUGCAUGUCGGGGUGCAGUGUUGGGGUUGAUGAUGUGUUUGUGGGAAACCCCAGCCAGCACCCAGAGAUCUGGGGUUGUUUUCCAGGCAUCUGGGGCUCUCUGCUCUAAGAUGCCUCAUGUCAGGCAGAGCACACAGCUGUCCUUUCAGCAUUUAAUGUGCAUUUGCUGUCUGGCCAGGUGGUAGUGGGUUUAUAAUGCUUGAGGCAUCCACUGGGUUUCAGAGUGCCUUGUGUUCCUCCAGGGCAGGAGCCAGGACCCACACAGCCUGUUUUGAAUCAUGAACUGUCCAUUUUCAAGCCCCUGACUGCCAAGGGUUUAGCUCUCUGGAUAGAGGCUUGUGCUGAUGAAUGGAUGGUGGACUUUGGUGGCAUUGUGGUGGGUGGUUAUGCUAAUCCCUGUCCUUUUUCUGCUCAUGAGACCCAGUGAAACAUCUUUCUUGUCUUGCCUCACGAGUUUCCCUUUUCAGUGACUGCGCCAGGGAAGGAGGCCUGACCGAACCCAGGUCUGAUGAAUUAAGCAGGGUUGAUUAAUACCAAGAAAGCUCUCAGGGAGUUCCCUCGUGGCUGGCUUCCUUAAGAGUCUGUCCCUGUCACAGCUGUGGCUAUGGUGAGAGCUGCGUGGGGAGAUCAAACCCUGACCGGGCAACUCCCCGAUGUUGCAGGUGGCACCCAAAUAAAUGAAUCAAGAAAAGUAAAUAUUUUGAAGAAGGUGAUAAAUUGAUGAAGUCAGUACAAACAUAUAGAUAUACCUACAUAGUAGCUAAGUGAAUUGACAGAGAAAACCAUGAAAAAGGCUGUCCCAUGAUGCUUGUGGUGGCAGAGGGUUUUGUGUACAAGCCUGGGGUGGUAACAUCCCUGGGGUGGAUUCAGUUCCUGGCCAGACAAUAUCUGCAUGCCACAAGUGGGUCCAGAAAAAUAAAUCAGAGAAUAAAUCAAUACAGAUGUAAGAAAUUAAUAAACUCAUACACCAGAGAUAAUCACUUCAGGUGAUUAUUAUGUGAAGGAAGAAAAAAGGCUUCCACAGCAUAGUGGGUGGGUUUAGGGUUACAGCAGAGGGACUCACACAAUAGCCUUGGGUAAGUUGGGCUGAGUGCCCCGAGAGAUUUUGAGAGAGAAAUCCCCCACUUCCUAGGGCACUUCAUGGCGCUCAGAGGGAGAGGAAGUCUCAACGGAAAGCCGCAGUCUUGCCCAACUCCAGUGCAGCCCCCAGGAGAGCUGAGCAGACAGGAGGAAGGCAGGCACGAGAGCUGCUGUUAGGGCCGAUGUCCACAAGACGGCGCCAGAGUACCUUCCUGCGGACGCAUGUGCAGCUCCAAGGCAGCGGGGUCCAGGCUCAGAGAUGCGGAUGAUGAUGCAUUUGUCGGAAGCCUCAGCAGCACCCAGAAAUUCGGGAUUGUUUUCCAUCUGGCCCAAGAUGCCUCAGAGGUCUCCUGAAUAAACCUGGUAUGUGUGAGGGGCUACAUGGGGUCAUUGUUACAAUGGCUCUUUCUGCUGACCCGCGGGACCGAGCACCUGCUCAAGCAACAUCCUGUUUUCACCACGGGUGCAGCCUUUGCCAAGACUGCGAGACCCCCCUCCCAUGGGACACCACACACCUCUGGCUUUCCCAAGACGACGAGACCCCCCCUCCCGUGGGACACCACACACCUCCGGCUUUCUCAAGAUUACGAGACCACCAGAGUCCAGCUGCAGUAUGAAGACCUGAUGAAAAGCCAGAUCUGGUGAAUCAAGUCUGAUAGAUUGAUAUAAAGAAAACUCUUCCAGAGAUCCCUCCUGGGCCCCUGGGUAAAGGAUCUGUCUUUGUCCCUGCGGUGUGUUUAGAAUCUUCUGAGGCUUGAAAUCCGUCAAUGGGCUGACAAGUCACAUAUGUUUCAGGUAGGUUUAAUAAAGUAAGAAAAAGAGGAAGAAAAGCAGAAAGAAGGAAUGAAAAAGAAAGAAUAAUGAAGGAAAAGAAGAAAGACAUGUAUGAAUGAAUCAAAGUAGGAAAUAUAAGAAAAUAAAUCAACAUUUACAUAUAUACACACCUACAUUCAUAAAUACAUAAGUGCAUGAACACAUGAAAAGUUGAUGAAGGCUGUCAUGACGUGAUGGGUGGGGACCUGAGUCUUUGAACUGCCUGGGGAGGUAGCUUGGCCUCAGUGCUCUGAAAGGUUUUGAGAGAAAAGCCCACUUUGUAGGGCACUACCACGUAUAGAAAAAAGGCAGAGGAAGGAAAUCCAACCAGCAUAUUGCCCAAGGCCUAUGAAACCCCGGGGUCAGCUGAGCCUGGGAGUUGCUAUUAGAGCAGAGUCCACAAGACGGCGCCAGAGUAUAUUCUGGACCCUCGUGCAGCUCCAUUGCUCCAUGGCCAAGCUCAGAGUUGGGGUCGAUGAUGUGAUUGGUGGAAACCCCAGCAAGAACCCAGUGGUUUGGGGUAUUUUAUGGGCACCUGGGUCUCUCUGCUCAAUGAUGCCUCAUGUCAAGCAGGGGACACAGGUGUCCUUCAGCAUUUGAUGUGGAUUUGCAGCCUGGUUGGGAGUCACAGUGGUACAAAAUCUUGACAGAGUCAAUGGGAUCCGAUUGCUUGUUUUUUCUCCAGAGGCUGGAGGGAAUGGAGGCCUGACAGAAAUCAGGUCCGAUGAAGCAGGGUUCUUUGAUACCAAGAAAGCUCUCAGGGAGAUCCCUCAUGGCUGCCUUUCUUAGGAGUCUGUCUUGUCACUGCUGUGGCUGUGGUCAGAUCUGCAUUGGGAGGUCCAACCCUGGCCAGACAACAUCCCAGUGUCAAAGGCGGCACCCAAAUAAAUUUAUAAAUAAAACAGAUAUUGCAAAGAAUGAGCUCAAUUGAGAAAGAUGUCAAUA